AUUGGGAAGCCAGAAUUACUUGCAGGAGUAACCUAGUGCCUAUAGCUAUGGCAGGUACCUGCAUCCUUGUUUUUGUUUAGUGGAUCCUCUAUCCUUCAGAGACUCUGGAACCCCUGUGCUCUUCUCCUCAUCUAGUGACCCUGAGGUGAUGGAGUUUUCAAGUCCUUCCAGAGAGGAAUGUCCCAAGCCUUCGGGUAGGGUAAGCAUCAUGGCUGGCAGCCUCACAGGAUUGCUUCUACUUCAGGCAGUGUCGUGGGCAUCAGAUGAGUGAGUCAAGGCAGUGGGGAGGUAGCACAGAGCCUCCCUUCUGCCUCAUAGUCCUUUGGUAGCCUUCCAGUAAGCUGGUGGUAGACUUUUAGUAGGUGCUCAAUAAAUCCUUUUGAGUGACUGAGACCAACUUUGGGGUGAGGAUUUUUGAAACCGUCUUCAGUCUCUCCAAACAGCUGUGUCCGUUCUCCACAUCCUUGUCAGACCUCACCUCUGCUUGUGCUCCCUCCCUCCCAGGUGGUGCCCCUGCAUCCCUAAAAGCUUCAGUACAGCUCGGUGGUCUGUGUCUGCAAUGCCACAUACUGUGACUCUUGACCCCCCGACCUUUCCUGCCCUAGGUGCCUUCAGCCGCUACAAGAGCAGAAGCAGUGGGCAUUGGAUGGAGCUGAGUACAGGACCAUACAGGCUAAUUGCACCGGCACAGGAAUCGGAUAUAACAUCAUCUGGGUACCCAUGGCCAGCUGUGACUUCUCCAUCCGCACCUACACCUAUGCAGACACCCCUGAUGAUUUCCAGUUGCACAACUUCAGCCUCCCAGAGGAAGAUACCAAGCUCAAGAUACCCCUGAUUCACCGAGCCCUGCAGUUGGCCCAGCGUCCCGUUUCACUCCUUGCCAGCCCCUGGACAUCACCCACUCGGCUCAAGACCAGGGGAGCGGGGAAUGGGAAGGGGCCACUCAAGGGACAGCCCAGAGACAUCUACCACCAGACCUGGGCCAGAUACAUUGUGAAGUUCCUGGAUGCCUAUGCUGAGCACAAGUUACAGUUCUGGGCAGUGACAGCUGAAAAUGAGCCUUCUGCUGGGCUGUUGAGUGGAUACCCCUUCCAGUGCCUGGGCUUCACCCCUGAACAUCAGCGAGACUUCAUUGCCCGUGACCUAGGUCCUACCCUUGCCAACGGUACUCACCACAAUGUCCGCCUACUCAUGCUGGAUGACCAACGCUUGCUGCUGCCCCACUGGGCAAAGGUGGUACUGACAGACCCAGAAGCAGCUAAGUAUGUUCAUGGUAUUGCUGUACAUUGGUACCUGGACUUUCUGGCUCCAGCCAAAGCCACCCUAAGGGAGACACACCACCUGUUCCCCAACACCAUGCUCUUUGCCUCAGAGGCCUGUGUGGGUUCCAAGUUCUGGGAGCAGAGUGUGCGGCUAGGCUCCUGGGAUCGAGGGAUGCAGUACAGCCACAGCAUCAUCACAGUAAGCCACCCCAGUCUCCCUUCCUGCAAAGGAGACCUCAGACCCAUUAGUAGUCUCACCAAAGACUGAUAGAAGCCCUUCCUGUCCAGCUUUCCCCAGGUAGCCUGCCCUUUUGGGCAACUCUGGGGAACCAUGAUUCCCUGUCUUGCCUUUCCUUCACAGGUCUGCACACCUCAUUGCCCCUUUUGCAACUACUGAGGCACUUGCAGCUGCCUCAGACUUCUCAGCUCCCCUUGAGAUGCCUGGAUCUUCACACCCCCAACUCCUUAGCUACUAAGGAAUGUGCCCCUCACAGGGCUGACCUACCCACAGCUGCCUCUCCCACACGUGACCCUUACCUACACUCUCUGGGGACCCCCAGUGUUGCGCCUUUGUCUCCUUGCCUUUGUCCUUACCCUAGAACCUCCUGUACCAUGUGGUCGGCUGGACCGACUGGAACCCAUCAUUGUAGACAUCACCAAGCACACGUUUUACAAACAGCCCAUGUUCUACCACCUUGGCCACUUCAGCAAGUUCAUUCCUGAGGGCUCCCAGAGAGUGGGGCUGGUUGCCAGUCAGAAGAACGACCCGGACGCAGUGGCACUGAUGCAUCCCGAUGGCUCUGCUGUUGUGGUCGUGCUAAACCGCUCCUCUAAGGAUGUGCCUCUUACCAUCAAGGAUCCUGCUGUGGGCUUCCUGGAGACAAUCUCACCUGGCUACUCCAUUCACACCUACCUGUGGCGUCGCCAGUGAUGGAGCAGAUACUCAAGGAGGCACUGGGCUCAGCCUGGGCAUUAAAGGGACAGAGUCAGCUCACACGCUGUCUGUGACUAAAGAGGGCACAGCAGGGCCAGUGUGAGCUUACAGCGACGUAAGCCCAGGGGCAAUGGUUUGGGUGACUCACUUUCCCCUCUAGGUGGUGCCAGGGGCUGGAGGCCCCUAGAAAAAGAUCAGUAAGCCCCAGUGUCCCCCCAGCCCCCAUGCUUAUGUGAACAUGCGCUGUGUGCUGCUUGCUUUGGAAACUGGGCCUGGGUCCAGGCCUAGGGUGAGCUCACUGUCCGUACAAACACAAGAUCAGGGCUGAGGGUAAGGAAAAGAAGAGACUAGGAAAGCUGGGCCCAAAACUGGAGACUGUUUGUCUUUCCUGGAGAUGCAGAACUGGGCCCGUGGAGCAGCAGUGUCAGCAUCAGGGCGGAAGCCUUAAAGCAGCAGCGGGUGUGCCCAGGCACCCAGAUGAUUCCUAUGGCACCAGCCAGGAAAAAUGGCAGCUCUUAAAGGAGAAAAUGUU
Molecule: long non-coding RNA, 2728 nt
Organism: Homo sapiens (human)
Lineage: Eukaryota; Metazoa; Chordata; Mammalia; Primates; Hominidae
Gene: GBA1LP
Product: glucosylceramidase beta 1 like, pseudogene
Source: Ensembl